Molecule: non-coding RNA, 489 nt
Organism: Nelumbo nucifera (sacred lotus)
Lineage: Eukaryota; Viridiplantae; Streptophyta; Magnoliopsida; Proteales; Nelumbonaceae
Source: RefSeq, a predicted model, not a curated record
CCUUCUACCACUACAAACCCAGGGAGGCAGGAGUUGAGGCUGUGCCAAGGACUGGACAACGACCAAAAACUCAUCUCUGACAAAUCAUCUUUUCUGGCAAGAAUCACGUACACAAGCCUUAUUGAAAAGGAAGACUCAACGAGGGCUGAGAUCUCCAUGCUUCGAGGUCUCAGACUGGGAUGCAUUUGGAGUAACAAGGUUUCCGGAGGGAGGGAUAUUGAAGAAUACAUAUCAGAUGGAUGAAAAAUGGUCGCUCAGGGUUUUCUAUUUCUGGAGGGAGGGAUAUUUAUAAAUAGGUUUUCUAGUUUGGAUUCUAUCCUUCCGAUUGAUAUAUUGCAUUUUUCUCUGUUUGUCGGGGCCUUUCUCCUAGGGAGAGUAGCAAUAGUGCUGUCUUUCAUUUCUAUUGUGUAGGACGGCUUAAUGCCUUUUCCCCCAUUAUACUUUAUGAUCAAGGUUCAAAGUAUUAAGAUGCUCUUGAUUGUCUAAUCA